Molecule: unclassified non-coding RNA, 74 nt
Filed under: Epilithonimonas mollis
Lineage: Bacteria; Pseudomonadati; Bacteroidota; Flavobacteriia; Flavobacteriales; Weeksellaceae
Description: Chryseobacterium molle Flavo-1 RNA
Source: RNAcentral
CUGCAGCCCGGCCUGAGUGUAGCUCUUUUUCUUUUUAUUAAAAGAAAAAAGCGGGAACGGAGGACGGAUAAAGC